UCGCCCUUUACGGGUUGUGAGAGCAAGAGCCCGGAGAUGGAUUCUGAGACACGAAUCCAGGCCCUACGGGGUGCAGCAGGCGCGAAAACUUUACAAUGCCGGCAACGGCGAUAAGGGGACCUCGAGUGCCAGGUUACAAAUCUGGCUGUCGUGAUGCCUAAAAAGCAUUGCAUAGCAAGGGCCGGGCAAGACCGGUGCCAGCCGCCGCGGUAACACCGGCGGCUCGAGUGGUAACCGUUAUUAUUGGGUCUAAAGGGUCUGUAGCCGGCCGGAUAAGUCUCUUGAGAAAUCCAGCAGCUCAACUGUUGGGCUUUCAGGAGAUACUGUUCGGCUCGAGGCCGGGAGAGGUGAGAGGUACUUCAGGGGUAGGGGUGAAAUCUUGUAAUCCUUGAAGGACCACCAGUGGCGAAGGCGUCUCACCAGAACGGACCUGACGGCAAGGGACGAAAGCUAGGGGCACGAACCGGAUUAGAUACCCGGGUAGUCCUAGCCGUAAACGAUACUCGCUAGGUGUCGGCCACGGUGCGACCGUUGUCGGUGCCGUAGGGAAGCCGUGAAGCGAGCCACCUGGGAAGUACGGCCGCAAGGCUGAAACUUAAAGGAAUUGGCGGGGGAG
This 616-nucleotide ribosomal RNA is filed under the name uncultured archaeon. RNAcentral's name for it is "bacterial SSU rRNA". It matches the Rfam family "Archaeal small subunit ribosomal RNA", at positions 260 to 876 of the family's 1478-position model. The record is from RNAcentral.